AUCAGAUCAUACGACGAUACGUUGUAUGCCAAGCGCCAUUUUGCCUGGUACCCGCACACUGCACGAAGUUAAAUUCAACUGCUGUUGAAUAGAUCGAGAGGAGAAAUUCUUUUUGUGGCUGGCCAACAAACCAUACAGACUUGCCUCAAUUCAUACGAUUUGGAGAUAAAAGAACACCAAGUCGAACCAAGCAUGCCUGGCAAGAGACGUGCCAAGCGUGGAGGAAUCAAACCACGAGAAAAAAUGACAACUCGAAAAGCGAAGAGUUCAACUGUAAAGUCGUUGGAAGAUGAACCAACACCGGGUUCCACCAUGCGUCCCAAGAGACCAAGACGUUGCAAGGGUGAAGGUA
Molecule: long non-coding RNA, 352 nt
Organism: Patiria miniata (bat star)
Lineage: Eukaryota; Metazoa; Echinodermata; Asteroidea; Valvatida; Asterinidae
Exons: 3
Source: RefSeq, a predicted model, not a curated record